RNAcentral lists this ribosomal RNA (497 nucleotides) under uncultured bacterium. RNAcentral's name for it is "partial 16S ribosomal RNA". It matches the Rfam family "Bacterial small subunit ribosomal RNA", at positions 28 to 507 of the family's 1533-position model. The record is from RNAcentral.
GAUGAACGCUGGCGGCGUGCCUAAUACAUGCAAGUCGAGCGAACAGACGAGGAGCUUGCUCCUCUGACGUUAGCGGCGGACGGGUGAGUAACACGUGGAUAACCUACCUAUCAGACUGGGAUAACUUCGGGAAACCGGCGCUAACACCGGAUAAUAUAUUGCACCGCAUGGUUCAAUAGUGAAAGACGGCUUUGCUGUCACUUCUAGAUGGAUCCGCGCCGCAUUAGCUAGUUGGUAAGGUAACGGCUUACCAAGGCAACGAUGCGUAGCCGACCUGAGAGGGUGAUCGGCCACACUGGAACUGAGACACGGUCCAGGCUCCUACGGGAGGCAGCAGUAGGGAAUCGUCCGCAAUGGGCGAAAGCCUGACGGAGCAACGGCGCGUGAGUGAUGGAGGUCUUCGGUUCGUAAAACUCUGUUAUUAGGGAAAAACAGAUGUGUAAGUAGCUAUACACGUCUUGACGGUACCGGAUCAGGAAGCCACGGCUAACUACGUG